UACGUAGGGAGCAAGCGUUGUCCGGAAUCAUUGGGCGUAAAGCGCGCGUAGGCGGCCCCGUAAGUCCGCUGUGAAAGUCAAAGGCUCAACCUUUGAAAGCCGGUGGAUACUGUGGGGCUAGAGUCCGGAAGAGGCGAGUGGAAUUCCUGGUGUAGCGGUGGAAUGCGCAGAUAUCAGGAGGAACACCAAUAGCGAAGGCAGCUCGCUGGCCUAAAACUGACGCUGAGGCGCGAAAGCGUGGGUAGCAAACAGG
This 253-nucleotide ribosomal RNA is filed under the name uncultured bacterium. Its description in RNAcentral is "partial 16S ribosomal RNA". It matches the Rfam family "Bacterial small subunit ribosomal RNA", at positions 524 to 776 of the family's 1533-position model. The record is from RNAcentral.